GAGUUUGAUCAUGGCUCAGAUUGAACGCUGGCGGCAGGCUUAACACAUGCAAGUCGAACGGUAGCAGGAGAAAGCUUGCUUUCUUGCUGACGAGUGGCGGACGGGUGAGUAAUGCUUGGGAAUCUGGCUUAUGGAGGGGGAUAACUACUGGAAACGGUAGCUAAUACCGCGUAAUAUCGAGAGAUUAAAGACUGGGACCUACGGGCCAGUUGCCAUAAGAUGAGCCCAAGUGGGAUUAGGUAGUUGGUGGGGUAAAGGCCUACCAAGCCCGCGAUCUCUAGCUGGUCUGAGAGGAUGACCAGCCACACUGGAACUGAGACACGGUCCAGACUCCUACGGGAGGCAGCAGUGGGGAAUAUUGCACAAUGGGGGGAACCCUGAUGCAGCCAUGCCGCGUGAAUGAAGAAGGCCUUCGGGUUGUAAA
This 424-nucleotide ribosomal RNA is filed under the name Pasteurellaceae bacterium canine oral taxon 080. Its description in RNAcentral is "bacterial SSU rRNA". It matches the Rfam family "Bacterial small subunit ribosomal RNA", at positions 9 to 429 of the family's 1533-position model. Lineage: Bacteria; Pseudomonadati; Pseudomonadota; Gammaproteobacteria; Pasteurellales; Pasteurellaceae. The record is from RNAcentral.